CCAGCCUGUGCUAAGAAAACUGCCCCACAUCAUCUGCAGUAGGACGGGGGAGUUGGAGCCCUGGUCAGGCCACUCUGCUACUGACCACAGUUUUCUCAUCUCUAAAAAGGCGCAGUAACAAUAUAAUUACCGUAUGCAGUCCCCCAGGAUACAGGGUCAAAGGAGAGCACAACCAUCGCAGUUGGAAGCCCAUGGGGCAGAAGCAAGGUCUCGCUGUGUUACCCUGGCUGGAGUGCAGUGGCUACUUACAGGCAUGAUCAUAGCAUACUGCAGCCUCGAACUCCUGGACUAGAGCAGUUCUCCUGCCUCAGCCUCCAGAGCAGCUGGGACUGCAGACACGCACCACAGAGCCCAGCCUGAGUCAUUUUGAUUCUGUAACUGGCUUCCUCUCGGCGGGCAGGCUCACACCCUCCACCCCCAGCUGGAGAUGGAAGGAGGAUGCUCACCGCCCAUUCCUCAUGCAGGCCAUCGAUGGAAAUGUCAGACAGUGCGAGUCCACGCCUGAACACUUCUGGGGUCCGCUCUGGGACUGACACUGGCAGAUCCAUCGGUGAGCUCCCGCCUGCCACCUCUGGGCCUGCAUUGCGGUGAUAGGGCCAAGGGCCUGGGCCUUCAAUUCUCCAGACUUGCCAAAAUGCUCAGCGCAGGCCUCGUCGGCAACUGCAGACAAGCAGAGGCAGCACCUGGGCUCUGCCUGUGCCUGGCACAGUGAAGCGAGGGUGGGGGCAGGAAUGAGGGUCCUCUCCAUGCAAGGGGGGAAGAUAGAAGAACAAAAUUUCACCCUAAUGUAGUGUCUUUAGACCGUGCAAUGUUGUGCUCCUGUUAGUCUGAUAUCAGGGGCUUGCAGCCUGGCAAAGGAAAAAAAACAGGCUGAGGCACAUGAUAGAAGACAGGCAGGGAUGCCACAAUCAUAACCAUGGCAAAGACCAGGAUCAGAAAGGCCCACCAUCUCUGACCCCAAAUCCCUGGGCAGAUGGUUCCAGAACUCAGAAUUUUCCCAGUUGUAGAAAGAUGGGGCCAGGUGCAGUGGCUCACGCCUGUAAUCCCAGCAUUUUGGGAGUACAAGGUGGGCGGAUCACCUGAGGUCAGGAGUUCGAGACCAGCCUGGCCAACAUGGUGAAACCCUGUCUCUACUAAAAAAAAAAAAAAAAAUUAGCCGGGCGUGGCGAUGCAUGCCUGUAAUCCCAGCUACUCGGGAGGCUGAGCCAGGAGAAUUGCUUGAACCCGGGAGGCGGAGGUUGCAGUGAGCCAAGAUCGCGCCACUACACUCCAGUCCGGGCGACAGAGCAAGAGUCCAUUCCCCCACCACCAAAAAAAAAAAAAAAAGAAAGAAAGAUGAUGUGAUACAUAUCACAUAUUUCCUAACACCCCCAACCAAACACAUUUAUGCAUAUGCAUAAAGCAGACGAGGAAAGAUUCUAAAUAGGCUCUGAAUCUCAGUUUUCUCAUCUCUACAAUGGGGCAGUGAUGGCAUGCACCUCCCAGGGCUGUUCUGAGAAUCUGAUGCCUCCCAUUGCACUGGUGAGCCUGGCACAGGCACAGGUCCCACCCCAGGCCCUUUGAACUGGCUGUUCCUUUGGCCUGGAACAUUCCUCCCCAGAUACCUCCUGAGAGGGCUCCCUCACUUCCUUCAAGGCACUGCUCAAAUGCUACCUCUUCACAGAGGCUUUCCCUGACCACCCCGUCUCUUUCCUCUUCCUGCAUAGCCUCUGUCACCUGACAUUUUAUGUCAUAAAUUACUCAUUUAUUAAUUUCCUGCUCUCCCACAGUGGCACCCGAGCUCUGUGAGGGCAAGACUUUGUUCGGUUGUGGGCUAUGCCCCCAACCCCUCGGACAGUGCCUGCACAGGUGGACAUUUUUGUUGGAUGAAGGAUUUUCUGUUAAAUGUGUCUGGCACACACAGAAAAACAAAGCCCAGCAGGUACGAUGGUGAUUAUUAUUGUUACUGGUGGCGCUCUA
RNAcentral lists this long non-coding RNA (1959 nucleotides) under Homo sapiens (human). RNAcentral describes it as "non-protein coding LINC00963:12". The record is from RNAcentral. Lineage: Eukaryota; Metazoa; Chordata; Mammalia; Primates; Hominidae.